GGGAGCCACUCCCGCCAUUACAAGAUGGCGCCGGUUUCCUGCUUCCUGGUUCUUCUUGCCAGCAUUGCUUUGCGAUCUGCGCAUGUGCCACCUUAUGCUAAUGUAGGCUUAUGUGGUCCUCCAAUUAGGGAUCAUAUGCUAAUCAGGUUUUGUGUGGAGCACCAAUCACAGACGAACACGUCGCCUUGACUGGCUAUUUAAGCAGAGCACAACCCGGGGUCUGGGUCCUUCCUUCACCAUCUGCUAAAAGAGCUGUAACAAUAAAGUUGUUGCUGGACACUC
Psammomys obesus (fat sand rat) is the source of this 282-nucleotide long non-coding RNA. RefSeq lists it as uncharacterized. The transcript is spliced from 2 exons. The record is from RefSeq and is a predicted model, not a curated record. Lineage: Eukaryota; Metazoa; Chordata; Mammalia; Rodentia; Muridae.